This 330-nucleotide unclassified non-coding RNA is filed under the name soil metagenome. RNAcentral's name for it is "partial contains 5.8S ribosomal RNA, internal transcribed spacer 2, and large subunit ribosomal RNA". The stretch from base 1 to 120 matches the Rfam family "5.8S ribosomal RNA", at positions 35 to 154 of the family's 154-position model. The record is from RNAcentral.
GAUGAAGAACGUAGCGAAAUGCGAUAAGUAAUGUGAAUUGCAGAAUUCAGUGAAUCAUCGAAUCUUUGAACGCACAUUGCGCCCCUUGGUAUUCCGAGGGGCAUGCCUGUUCGAGCGUCAUUUCAACCCUCAAGCACAGCUUGGUCUUGGGCUUCGCCGCUAACCCGGCGGGUCUUAAAAUCAGUGGCGGUGCCGUCGGGCCCUGAGCGCAGUAAUCUCUCCCGCUAUAGGGUCCCGGCGGAUGCUGGCCAGUAACCCCCAAUUUUCUAUGGUUGACCUCGGAUCAGGUAGGGAUACCCGCUGAACUUAAGCAUAUCAAUAAGCGGAGGA